This 883-nucleotide small RNA is filed under the name Pongo abelii (Sumatran orangutan). RNAcentral's name for it is "retained intron". Lineage: Eukaryota; Metazoa; Chordata; Mammalia; Primates; Hominidae. The record is from RNAcentral.
GUUUUUGCCCCACUUCCGCUCUCUGGCCGGGCUUGGGCUGCGUGGAGAAUACUUUUUGCGAUGCCUACUGGAGACUUUGAUUCGAAGCCCAGUUGGGCCGACCAGGUGGAGGAGGAGGGGGAAGACGGUAAGUGUACCCGGUCGCCCGGGGUAUUCGCGGCCAGGCCCGAGCCGGGUGACUGCCGCCUGCUUCCAUCUCCCAGUCUGGCACCGUGUACCCCGUCACGGCCUGCCCCUGCCCCGCGCCAUCCUCCUUGGGACCCGCCUGUUGCCAACUCCAGGUGUUCCCCGGCAGGUCCCUCUUCCUCCCAUGCCACUGCCGAAGUCCUCCCAGCUGUUCCCCUCCUCCAGGGAGGAAGUUGUAAUCUCCCGUCUCCUGUUUCUCUACUGGCGCCUGGUUGGCUUCAUGGCCUGGCACCCACCUUCCUACGAGGGAUCCCCCAUCCUUGCCACUCCGAGUCCCCAUAGGGCCAUCCCAGUGCGCUGCCUGGCCAGCCCUUUGCCCUUGGCCUGCCUUUCUCCGCUCUUGCUGUAGGCGUCAUCCCAAAAGCCCUUCCAUCGCAGCUGGGGAGCUCCUGCCCCUGGAGCUGACCCCUCCUCCCUACGCUGCCUCUUGCAGACAAAUGUGUCACCAGCGAGCUCCUCACGGGGAUCCCUCUGGCCACAGGUGACACCAGCCCAGAGCCAGAGCUACUGCCGGGAGGUGAGUGAGGAUGGCCACUCCGUGUCCGGGCUGCCUCUCCCUCCAGCCCUGCCGCUCCUGAUCCCCAUGACCCAGGGCUCAGUCCUUCUCUGUUUUUCCCCUUCUCCCAGCUCCACUGCCGCCUCCCAAGGAGGUCAUCAACGGAAACAUAAAGACAGUGACAGAGUACAAGAUAGAUGA